This 1341-nucleotide ribosomal RNA is filed under the name uncultured bacterium. RNAcentral's name for it is "bacterial SSU rRNA". It matches the Rfam family "Bacterial small subunit ribosomal RNA", at positions 28 to 1381 of the family's 1533-position model. The record is from RNAcentral.
GACGAACGCUGGCGGCGUGCUUAACACAUGCAAGUCGAACGGAAAGGCUCCUGCUUGCAGGGGUACUCGAGUGGCGAACGGGUGAGUAACACGUGGGUGAUCUGCCUUGUACUCUGGGAUAAGCUUGGGAAACUGGGUCUAAUACCGGAUAGUAGCCGCCUUUAGUGUGGUGGUUGGAAAGUUUUUUCGGUGCAAGAUGAGCUCGCGGCCUAUCAGCUUGUUGGUGGGGUAAUGGCCUACCAAGGCGUCGACGGGUAGCCGGCCUGAGAGGGUGUACGGCCACAUUGGGACUGAGAUACGGCCCAGACUCCUACGGGAGGCAGCAGUGGGGAAUAUUGCACAAUGGGCGGAAGCCUGAUGCAGCGACGCCGCGUGGGGGAUGACGGCCUUCGGGUUGUAAACUCCUUUCGACAGGGACGAAGCUUUUUUGUGACGGUACCUGUAUAAGAAGCACCGGCUAACUACGUGCCAGCAGCCGCGGUAAUACGUAGGGUGCGAGCGUUGUCCGGAAUUACUGGGCGUAAAGAGCUCGUAGGUGGUUUGUCGCGUCGUCUGUGAAAUUCCGGGGCUUAACUCCGGGCGUGCAGGCGAUACGGGCAUAACUUGAGUGCUGUAGAGGAGACUGGAAUUCCUGGUGUAGCGGUGAAAUGCGCAGAUAUCAGGAGGAACACCGAUGGCGAAGGCAGGUCUCUGGGCAGUAACUGACGCUGAGGAGCGAAAGCAUGGGUAGCGAACAGGAUUAGAUACCCUGGUAGUCCAUGCCGUAAACGGUGGGCGCUAGGUGUAGGGGGCUUCCACGUCUUCUGUGCCGUAGCUAACGCAUUAAGCGCCCCGCCUGGGGAGUACGGCCGCAAGGCUAAAACUCAAAGGAAUUGACGGGGGCCCGCACAAGCGGCGGAGCAUGUGGAUUAAUUCGAUGCAACGCGAAGAACCUUACCUGGGCUUGACAUACACCAGAUCGCUGCAGAGAUGUAGUUUCCCUUGUGGUUGGUGUACAGGUGGUGCAUGGUUGUCGUCAGCUCGUGUCGUGUGAUGUUGGGUUAAGUCCCGCAACGAGCGCAACCCUUGUCUUAUGUUGCCAGCAUUUGGUUGGGGACUCAUGAGAGACUGCCGGGGUUAACUCGGAGGAAGGUGGGGAUGACGUCAAAUCAUCAUGCCCCUUAUGUCCAGGGCUUCACACAUGCUACAAUGGUCGGUACAACGCGCAGCGGCACUGUGAGGUGGAGCGAAUCGCUGAAAGCCGGCCUUAGUUCGGAUUGGGGUCUGCAACUCGACCCCAUGAAGUCGGAGUCGCUAGUAAUCGCAGAUCAGCAAUGCCGCGGUGAAUACGUUCCCGGGCCU